GACGAACGCUGGCGGCGGGCUUAACACAUGCAAGUCGAACGGAAAGGCCCUGCUUUUGUGGGGGGCUCGAGUGGCGAACGGGUGAGUAACACGGGAGUAACCUGCCCUUGACUUUGGGAUAACUUCAGGAAACGGGGGCUAAUACCGGAUAGGAGCUCCUGCUGCAUGGGGGGGGUUGGAAAGUUUCGGCGGUUGGGGAUGGACUCGCGGCUUAUCAGCUUGUUGGUGGGGUAGUGGCUUACCAAGGCUUUGACGGGUAGCCGGCCUGAGAGGGUGACCGGCCACAUUGGGACUGAGAUACGGCCCAGACUCCUACGGGAGGCAGCAGUGGGGAAUAUUGCACAAUGGGCGGAAGCCUGAUGCAGCAACGCCGCGUGCGGGAUGACGGCCUUCGGGUUGUAAACCGCUUUCGCCUGUGACGAAGCGUGAGUGACGGUAAUGGGUAAAGAAGCACCGGCUAACUACGUG
RNAcentral lists this ribosomal RNA (468 nucleotides) under uncultured bacterium. RNAcentral describes it as "partial 16S ribosomal RNA". It matches the Rfam family "Bacterial small subunit ribosomal RNA", at positions 28 to 507 of the family's 1533-position model. The record is from RNAcentral.